This 190-nucleotide ribosomal RNA is filed under the name uncultured bacterium. RNAcentral describes it as "partial 16S ribosomal RNA". It matches the Rfam family "Bacterial small subunit ribosomal RNA", at positions 1311 to 1500 of the family's 1533-position model. The record is from RNAcentral.
CUCGACUACAUGAAGCUGGAAUCGCUAGUAAUCGCGAAUCAGAAUGUCGCGGUGAAUACGUUCCCGGGUCUUGUACACACCGCCCGUCACACCAUGGGAGCCGGAAAUGCCCGAAGUCAGUGGCCCAACCGCAAGGAGGGAGCUGCCGAAGGUGGAGCUGGUGACUGGGGUGAAGUCGUAACAAGGUACC